RNAcentral lists this ribosomal RNA (466 nucleotides) under uncultured bacterium. RNAcentral's name for it is "partial 16S ribosomal RNA". It matches the Rfam family "Bacterial small subunit ribosomal RNA", at positions 28 to 507 of the family's 1533-position model. The record is from RNAcentral.
GACGAACGCUGGCGGCGUGCUUAACACAUGCAAGUCGAACGGUAAGGCUCCAGCUUGCUGGGGUACACGAGUGGCGAACGGAUGAGUAACACGUGGGUGACCUGCCCUGCACUUCGGGAUAAGCCUGGGAAACUGGGUCUAAUACCGGAUAGGACCAUGGUGUGGAUACUGUGGUGGAAAGUUUUUUCGGUGUGGGAUGGGCCCGCGGCCUAUCAGCUUGUUGGUGGGGUAAUGGCCUACCAAGGCGGCGACGGGUAGCCGGCCUGAGAGGGUGGACGGCCACAUUGGGACUGAGACACGGCCCAGACUCCUACGGGAGGCAGCAGUGGGGAAUAUUGCACAAUGGGCGGAAGCCUGAUGCAGCGACGCCGCGUGGGGGAUGACGGCCUUCGGGUUGUAAACUCCUUUCACCAUCGACGAGGGGUUUCUGACGGUAGAUGGAGAAGAAGCACCGGCUAACUACGUG